Molecule: ribosomal RNA, 460 nt
Filed under: uncultured bacterium
Lineage: Bacteria
Description: partial 16S ribosomal RNA
Rfam family: Bacterial small subunit ribosomal RNA
Source: RNAcentral
CCUACGGGUGGCAGCAGUGAGGAAUAUUGGUCAAUGGACGAGAGUCUGAACCAGCCAAGUAGCGUGAAGGAUGACUGCCCUAUGGGUUGUAAACUUCUUUUAUAAAGGAAUAAAACGAGGCACGUGUGCCUUUUUGCAUGUACUUUAUGAAUAAGGAUCGGCUAACUCCGUGCCAGCGGCCGCGGUAAUACGGAGGAUCCGAGCGUUAUCCGGAUUUAUUGGGUUUAAAGGGAGCGUAGAUGGGUUGUUAAGUCAGUUGUGAAAGUUUGCGGCUCAACCGUAAAAUUGCAAUUGAUACUGGCAGUCGUGAGUACAGUUGAGGUAGGCGGAAUUCGUGGUGGAGCGGUGAAAUGCUUAGAUAUCACGAAGAACCCCGAUUGCGAAGGCAGCUUACUAAACUGUGACUGACAUUGAUGCUCGAAAGUGUGGGUAUCAAACAGGAUUAGAUACCCUUGUAGUC